UACGUAGGGCGCAAGCGUUGUCCGGAAUUAUUGGGCGUAAAGAGCUCGUAGGCGGCCUGUUACGUCUGCUGUGAAAUCCCGGGGCUUAACCCCGGGCGUGCAGUGGAUACGGGCAGGCUGGAGGCAGGCAGGGGAGAACGGAAUUCCCGGUGUAGCGGUGAAAUGCGCAGAUAUCAGGAGGAACACCGGUGGCGAAGGCGGUGGGCUGGGCCGGCACUGACGCUGAGGAGCGAAAGCGUGGGGAGCGAACAGG
RNAcentral lists this ribosomal RNA (253 nucleotides) under uncultured bacterium. RNAcentral's name for it is "partial 16S ribosomal RNA". It matches the Rfam family "Bacterial small subunit ribosomal RNA", at positions 524 to 776 of the family's 1533-position model. The record is from RNAcentral.